Molecule: long non-coding RNA, 1915 nt
Organism: Nannospalax galili (Upper Galilee mountains blind mole rat)
Lineage: Eukaryota; Metazoa; Chordata; Mammalia; Rodentia; Spalacidae
Source: Ensembl
GGUGACGCGAAUCUGCAGCCAGCCGGACCCCGGCGAGCGAAGCGACGCCUGUCUCCCAGCUUGGGCCCCGAGUCCCUGCAGCAGGACCCAUGGCCGGAAGAGUCUGCUCCUGCUCGCUCUUUUGAGGAGUGCCCCAACCAAGUCUGCUCCCCCCGGUGCAAACGGAAAAGGACAGGGAAAAGGGCCGGGCCAGCCUGCACCGGGCCUCCUGGAGCCACAGCACCGCCAGGUGGUCCUCAGCACUGCAGCCAAAGCCUGGACUACGUCGGCCAAGCAGCCGGUGCAGCUGGACCCAAGCUGGACUCCAGCUCUGUGCCGCAUCCCUGUCGUCUCCACUGGCCUGGUCACCCCCGCCUAGCUUCUCUCCUCCCUCUCCCCCUCCCAUCGUUCCGCUCGCGCCGUCUCGCCCUCUAUGCCAACCCGGUGGUGCGGUUGCCUCCAGUGGACCCGCCUGAAAUCCUGGCUUGGAGCCAGGGACCCAGACCGGCUCACGCCCACUCCGCUCCCUCCCCCUCAGCCCCGCGUUUCUGAGAUGCAAUCGCCUACCCUGCCCCCGCCGCUUCCUCCUCGUUGGGCUCAGGCCCAGCUCCUGCCAAUGCUGCACCCUCCGCUGUUUGUGCCCAGCGAGGUCCGGUCCCAGCGCCGCCACUGCCGCCCAUUCUGGAAGGUCGCUCAGGCCCAGCCGCUGCCAAUGCUGCACCCACCGCUGUUUCUGACCAGCAAAGUUUGGUCCCAGCUCUCGCCACCGCCGAGUGCCACCGAACAUUCCUGAGCACCUGCGCUGCAUGUUCCUGAGCGCCUCUGCCACCUCCGAAUGGUCCCGAUCGUCACCAACUGCGGACGCCACUUCGGCCGUUGAAUAUUCCACAGCGUCAAGCGUCAAUGCCCCCCGGGACGCCAUAGACGAUGGAUGAUGCCAGAAGCGGAGGUGGAAUACAGCAAGUUCCGACAGUGCUGCUGAGGUCGGCCAACGCUCCCGCUGCUGCCAAACAACAUGCGAGAAGCCGGGAGAGAGCGCAGCAAAGAGCCCAGCCUGCCACCUUGCUGUCCCUGUGGCUUCUGGGCCAACCCAGUGGUGCAGCCGCCUCCAGGAGACCGGCCUGAAAUCCUGGCUCGGAGCCACGGACCCAAACCGGCUCAGCCCACUCUGCUCCCUCCUCCUCCCCCUCGCCCAGGCCAGCGUUUCCACUACCAACCGUUUAUGCUGCUGCUGCUGCCGCUGCUGCACAUUCCCGAGGGACCCUGCUACCGCCGCCGCAUGUUCCGGAGGGCGGCCCGCUGUUGCCCCAUGUUCAGGAGGGCCGCUGCCGCUGCACGGUCCAGAGGGCCACCGACAUCACCGCACCCGCACCGUCUGGAGGGCCACCGCCACCGCCGCACUUUCCGGAGGGCUGCUGUCGCCACCGCCGCCACCGCUGCCGCAAGUUCCUGAGGGCGGCAGCCGCAGCCGCCCCACAUUCCGGAGGGUGGCCGCCCCCGCAUAUCCGGGAGGGCCGUUGCCGCCGCCUCCACCGCCGCAAGUUCCGGAGGGCCGUCGCCGCCAUCGCUGCCACCGCCGCACGGUCCAGAGGGCCACCGCCACCGCCGCACUUUCUGGAGGGCUGCUGUCGCCCUGCCGCCACCGCUGCUGCAAGUUCCUGAGGAUCGCCCCCGCCGCCCCACGUUCCGGAGGGCUGCCGAUGCAGCUGCCCGAUUCCGAGUGCAGCCGGUACAGCGCCACCACACGUUUCGGAGGACAGCCGCCACCAUCGCACAUUCCGGACAGUUCGGGAAGUGCAGCUGAGGUCGGCCAACGCUCUCGCUGCUGCCAAACAACAUGCCAGACGCCAGGAGAGAGCAGCAAAGAGCCCAGCUUGCUGCCUUGCUGUCCCUGUGGCUUCUGAGGUAAGUGUCGGGCCAGGUUGGGGCGGGAGCU